GACGAACGCUGGCGGCAUGCUUAACACAUGCAAGUCGAACGGAAAGGCCCUGCUUUUGUGGGGUGCUCGAGGGGCGAACGGGGGAGUAACACGUGAGUAACCUGCCCUUGACUUUGGGAUAACUUCAGGAAACUGGGGCUAAUACCGGAUAGGAGCUACUGCUGCAUGGUGGGGGUGGGAAAGUUUCGGCGGUUGGGGAUGGACCGGCGGCAUAUUAGCUUGUUGGUGGGGUAGUGGCUUACCAAGGCUAUGACAGGUAGGCUGUCUGAGAGGGUGAGCGGCCACAUUGGGACUGAGCUACGGCCCGGACUCCUACGGGAGGCAGCAGAGGAGAAUAUUGCACAAUGGGCGGAAGCCUGGUGCAGCAACGCCGCGUGCGGUAUGACGGCCUUCGGGUUGUAUUGCGCUUUCGUCUGUGACGAAGCGUGAGUGACGGUAAUGGGUAAAGAAGCACCGGCUAACUACGUG
This 468-nucleotide ribosomal RNA is filed under the name uncultured bacterium. RNAcentral's name for it is "partial 16S ribosomal RNA". It matches the Rfam family "Bacterial small subunit ribosomal RNA", at positions 28 to 507 of the family's 1533-position model. The record is from RNAcentral.